AGACUCCUACGGGAGGCAGCAGUGGGGAAUAUUGCACAAUGGGCGCAAGCCUGAUGCAGCAACGCCGCGUGAGGGAUGACGGCCUUCGGGUUGUAAACCUCUUUUAGCAGGGAAGAAGCGAAAGUGACGGUACCUGCAGAAAAAGCGCCGGCUAACUACGUGCCAGCAGCCGCGGUAAUACGUAGGGCGCAAGCGUUAUCCGGAAUUAUUGGGCGUAAAGAGCUCGUAGGCGGUUUGUCGCGUCUGCUGUGAAAUCCCGAGGCUCAACUUCGGGUCUGCAGUGGGUACGGGCAGACUAGAGUGCGGUAGGGGAGAUUGGAAUUCCUGGUGUAGCGGUGGAAUGCGCAGAUAUCAGGAGGAACACCGAUGGCGAAGGCAGAUCUCUGGNCCGUAACUGACGCUGAGGAGCGAAAGGGUGGGGAGCAAACAGGCUUAGAUACCCUGGUAGUCCACCCCGUAAACGUUGGGAACUAGUUGUGGGGUCCAUUCCACGGAUUCCGUGACGCAGCUAACGCAUUAAGUUCCCCGCCUGGGGAGUACGGCCGCAAGGCUAAAACUCAAAGGAAUUGACGGGGACCCGCACAAGCGGCGGAGCAUGCGGAUUAAUUCGAUGCAACGCGAAGAACCUUACCAAGGCUUGACAUAUACGAGAACGCUGCAGAAAUGUAGAACUCUUUGGACACUCGUAAACAGGUGGUGCAUGGUUGUCGUCAGCUCGUGUCGUGAGAUGUUGGGUUAAGUCCCGCAACGAGCGCAACCUUCUUUUAUGUUGCCAGCACGUAAUGGUGGGAACUCAUGGGAUACUGCCGGGGUCAACUCGGAGGAAGGUGGGGAUGACGUCAAAUCAUCAUGCCCCUUAUGUCUUGGGCUUCACGCAUGCUACAAUGGCCGGUACAAAGGGCUGCAAUACCGUAAGGUGGAGCGAAUCCCAAAAAGCCGGUCCCAGUUCGGAUUGAGGUCUGCAACUCGACCUCAUGAAGUCGGAGUCGCUAGUAAUCGCAGAUCAGCAACGCUGCGGUGAAUACGUUCCCGGGUCUUGUACACACCGCCCGU
Molecule: ribosomal RNA, 1053 nt
Filed under: actinobacterium S-Su(nd)-11A
Lineage: Bacteria; Bacillati; Actinomycetota; Actinomycetes
Description: bacterial SSU rRNA
Rfam family: Bacterial small subunit ribosomal RNA
Source: RNAcentral